CGAACGGGUGAGUAACGCGUGAGGAACCUGCCUCAAAGAGGGGGACAACAGUUGGAGACGACUGCUAAUACCGCAUAAGCCCACGGGUCGGCAUCGACCUGAGGGAAAAGGAGCAAUCCGCUUUGAGAUGGCCUCGCGUCCGAUUAGCUAGUUGGUGAGGUAAUGGCCCACCAAGGCGACGAUCGGUAGCCGGACUGAGAGGUUGAACGGCCACAUUGGGACUGAGACACGGCCCAG
RNAcentral lists this ribosomal RNA (237 nucleotides) under uncultured bacterium. Its description in RNAcentral is "partial 16S ribosomal RNA". It matches the Rfam family "Bacterial small subunit ribosomal RNA", at positions 99 to 334 of the family's 1533-position model. The record is from RNAcentral.